Molecule: ribosomal RNA, 253 nt
Filed under: uncultured bacterium
Lineage: Bacteria
Description: partial 16S ribosomal RNA
Rfam family: Bacterial small subunit ribosomal RNA
Source: RNAcentral
UACGGAGGGUGCAAGCAUUAAUCGGAUUUAUUGGGCGUAAAGGGCGCGUAGGCCGAGAUGUAAGUCAGAUGUGAAAUCCCUGGGCUCAACCCAGGAACUGCAUUUGAAACUACAUUUCUAGAGGGUAGGCGGAGAAAAUGGAAUUCCACAUGUAGCGGUGAAAUGCGUAGAUAUGUGGAGGAACACCAGUGGCGAAGGCGGUUUUCUAGCUUACUCCUGACGCUGAGGCGCGAAAGCAAGGGGAUCAAACAGG